CCUACGGGAGGCAGCAGUGGGGAAUAUUGGGCAAUGGGCGCAAGCCUGACCCAGCAACGCCGCGUGAAGGAAGAAGGCUUUCGGGUUGUAAACUUCUUUUGUCAGGGAAGAGUAGAAGACGGUACCUGACGAAUAAGCCACGGCUAACUACGGGCCAGCAGCCGCGGUAAUACGUAGGUGGCAAGCGUGGUCCGGAUUUACGGGGUGUAAAGGGCGUGUAGCCGGGUUGACAAGUCAGAUGUGAAAUCCUGCGGCUUAACCGCAGAACUGCCUUUGAAACUGUUGAUCUUGAGUACUGGAGAGGCAGAUGGAAUUCCUAGUGUAGCGGUGAAAUGCGUAGAUAUUAGGAGGAACACCAGUGGCGAAGGCGGUCUGCUGGACAGCAACUGACGGUGAGGCGCGAAAGCGUGGGGAGCAAACAGGAUUAGAUACCCCAGUAGUC
This 442-nucleotide ribosomal RNA is filed under the name uncultured bacterium. RNAcentral's name for it is "partial 16S ribosomal RNA". It matches the Rfam family "Bacterial small subunit ribosomal RNA", at positions 338 to 795 of the family's 1533-position model. The record is from RNAcentral.